Molecule: transfer RNA, 69 nt
Filed under: Rattus norvegicus (Norway rat)
Lineage: Eukaryota; Metazoa; Chordata; Mammalia; Rodentia; Muridae
Rfam family: tRNA
About the family: Transfer RNA (tRNA) molecules are approximately 80 nucleotides in length.
Source: Rfam by way of RNAcentral
GGGGAUUUAGCUCAGUGGUUGAGCACUUGCCUAGCAAGCACAAGGCCCUGGGUUCGGUCCCCAGCUCCG